CAGUGCUGGAGAGGAGGAAAUGGG
This 24-nucleotide non-coding RNA is filed under the name Cricetulus griseus (Chinese hamster). Lineage: Eukaryota; Metazoa; Chordata; Mammalia; Rodentia; Cricetidae. The record is from RNAcentral.